GCGAAGGUGGCGGAAUUGGUAGACGCGCUAGCUUCAGGUGUUAUUGUCCUUACGGACGUGGGGGUUCAAGUCCCCCCCCUCGCACCA
RNAcentral lists this transfer RNA (87 nucleotides) under Escherichia coli. RNAcentral's name for it is "tRNA-Leu". It matches the Rfam family "tRNA". Rfam says of the family: Transfer RNA (tRNA) molecules are approximately 80 nucleotides in length. Their secondary structure includes four short double-helical elements and three loops (D, anti-codon, and T loops). Further hydrogen bonds mediate the characteristic L-shaped molecular structure. tRNAs have two regions of fundamental functional importance: the anti-codon, which is responsible for specific mRNA codon recognition, and the 3' end, to which the tRNAs corresponding amino acid is attached (by aminoacyl-tRNA synthetases). tRNAs cope with the degeneracy of the genetic code in two manners: having more than one tRNA (with a specific anti-codon) for a particular amino acid; and 'wobble' base-pairing, i.e. permitting non-standard base-pairing at the 3rd anti-codon position. The record is from RNAcentral. RNAcentral also lists the same sequence under 3 other names. Lineage: Bacteria; Pseudomonadati; Pseudomonadota; Gammaproteobacteria; Enterobacterales; Enterobacteriaceae.